RNAcentral lists this ribosomal RNA (590 nucleotides) under Escherichia coli. RNAcentral's name for it is "partial 23S ribosomal RNA". It matches the Rfam family "Bacterial large subunit ribosomal RNA", at positions 1085 to 1677 of the family's 2925-position model. The record is from RNAcentral. Lineage: Bacteria; Pseudomonadati; Pseudomonadota; Gammaproteobacteria; Enterobacterales; Enterobacteriaceae.
CCAGACAGCCAGGAUGUUGGCUUAGAAGCAGCCAUCAUUUAAAGAAAGCGUAAUAGCUCACUGGUCGAGUCGGCCUGCGCGGAAGAUGUAACGGGGCUAAACCAUGCACCGAAGCUGCGGCAGCGACACUAUGUGUUGUUGGGUAGGGGAGCGUUCUGUAAGCCUGUGAAGGUGUACUGUGAGGUAUGCUGGAGGUAUCAGAAGUGCGAAUGCUGACAUAAGUAACGAUAAAGCGGGUGAAAAGCCCGCUCGCCGGAAGACCAAGGGUUCCUGUCCAACGUUAAUCGGGGCAGGGUGAGUCGACCCCUAAGGCGAGGCCGAAAGGCGUAGUCGAUGGGAAACAGGUUAAUAUUCCUGUACUUGGUGUUACUGCGAAGGGGGGACGGAGAAGGCUAUGUUGGCCGGGCGACGGUUGUCCCGGUUUAAGCGUGUAGGCUGGUUUUCCAGGCAAAUCCGGAAAACUAAGGCUGAGGCGUGAUGACGAGGCACUACGGUGCUGAAGCAACAAAUGCCCUGCUUCCAGGAAAAGCCUCUAAGCAUCAGGUAACAUCAAAUCGUACCCCAAACCGACACAGGUGGUCAGGUAGAGA